CGAGAGAGUUUGCAAGAACUCCCCCAAACCCACUGUGAACAUACCUGUUAGUUUGCCUCGGCAGGCGGUCCCCGGGGGGGAUCUUCAGCGCGCUUCAGAGCGCGCGCCUGCCGCGAGGCCACUACAAACUCUGCUGUACCGGUCGUCUGAGAAUAAGAAGCCCGCUGAGAAGCAGGGUAAAUCUAGUCA
This 189-nucleotide unclassified non-coding RNA is filed under the name uncultured Sordariomycetes. RNAcentral's name for it is "sequence contains ITS1". The record is from RNAcentral. Lineage: Eukaryota; Fungi; Ascomycota; Sordariomycetes.